RNAcentral lists this long non-coding RNA (1312 nucleotides) under Homo sapiens (human). Its description in RNAcentral is "non-protein coding lnc-CNTN6-2:2". Lineage: Eukaryota; Metazoa; Chordata; Mammalia; Primates; Hominidae. The record is from RNAcentral.
GACAGGGUCCUUCUGUGACACCUGCUGUGUCACCAGGCUGUGCGAAUGGACUCAGCUGCCCGAACUCACAGAAUAUCAGUAACAGCACCGAAACUUCACAGGAAAAAUGCUCCACGAACUUCAGACUUAAAAAGCAUCACUGGCUCCUGACCAGGAUUCCAGCUCCAUGAACCUCAAACUAGAACACCAGCCCGGCUUCUCUGCAGGUCUCCAGCUCCAAAACCUAAGACAUCAGUGGCAGUACAAACUCAUCCCAGGGGCUCCAGCUCCAGGACCCUCAGACUUGAACCGCAGCACCAACUCUUCCCUGGAUCUCCAUCUCCAUGACCCUCAGACUUAAACAGCAGCAGCACCAGUUCAUCUGUGAAUCUCCAGCUCCACAACCCUCCAACUAGAAACACACCAGCUCCUCCCUGGGUCUCCAGCUGCACGACCCUCAAACUACAACAUCAGCUCCUCCCCGGGUCUCUAACUCCAUGACCCUCAAACUAAAACAACACUGCUCACCCCUGGGACUCCAGAUCCACAAACCUUACACUAGAACAGAAACACCAGCUCCUCCACAGAUCUCCAGCUUUACAAUCUAAGACAUUAGUGGCAGCACCAUCUCCUCCUGGGGUCUCAAGCUCCAGGACCCUCAGACUUGAAUCGCAGCACCAGCUCUUCCCCGGAUCUCCAGCUUGACGACCUUCAGACUUAAACAACAAAAGAAUCAGCUCCUCCCUGGGUCUCCAGCACCACAACCCACAAACUAGAAGAACACCACUCCCCCAUGGAUCUCCAGAUCCAUGACCCUCACACUAGAACACCAACACCUGCUCCUCCGUGGGUCUCCAGAUCCACGAACCUCACACUGGAACACCAACACUGGCUCCUCUGCGGGUCUUCAGCUCCACAACCUAAGACAUCAGUGGCAGCAUUGGCUCCUCCCAUGGAUUCCAGCUCCAAGACCCUCACAUUUAAACUGCAAGACCACCUUCUCCCUGUAUCUCCAGCUGCACAACCCUCAAACUAGAACAUCAGCUCCUCCAAUGGUCUUCAGCUGCACGAAACUCAAACUAGAAAAACAACAGCUCCUCCCUGGGUCUCCAGCUCUGCAACCAUCAAACUAGAACACCAUCAGCUCCUCUCCAGGUCUCCAGCUCCACAGCUCUCAAAUAAGAGCAACAUCAGCUUCUCCCUGGGUCUCCAGCUGCACAACCCUCAAACUAGAAAAACACCAGCUCCUGCCUGGGUCUCCAAGCUCCAUGACCCUCAAACUCGAACAACAUCAGCUCCUCCCCACGUCUCCAGCUGCAUGACCCUCAAUCUA